GGGGAAUGUGCACUUAGAAGGCCGUAGACAAAUGGAGAAGCUUCACGUUGCAGCUGGUGGCCCAGGGACUUUCACCCCUCUUGGAAACUGAUGGCUGUGCUUUACACAACUUUUACUGAGGACUGUGAGGUAUUUUCCCAUUUCCAUUGCACAGGUAAUCCAGUCAAGCACACAGCCUCAGCAGCUGUCUAGCACCAGGGGCAGGUCUGUAACUGUGAAGGCUCUGAAGAACGAAGCAUAGACAUGAAAGCUUUUCAGGCUCAGCUGGCCUUCAGAGACUAUUACACCCUUCUACAAAGCCUGUUC
Poecile atricapillus (Black-capped chickadee) is the source of this 306-nucleotide long non-coding RNA. RefSeq lists it as uncharacterized. Lineage: Eukaryota; Metazoa; Chordata; Aves; Passeriformes; Paridae. The record is from RefSeq and is a predicted model, not a curated record. The transcript has 3 exons.